CCUACGGGUGGCAGCAGUGAGGAAUAUUGGUCAAUGGACGAGAGUCUGAACCAGCCAAGUAGCGUGAAGGAUGACUGCCCUAUGGGUUGUAAACUUCUUUUAUAUGGGAAUAAAAUGUUCCACGUGUGGGAUUUUGUAUGUACCAUAUGAAUAAGGAUCGGCUAACUCCGUGCCAGCAGCCGCGGUAAUACGGAGGAUCCGAGCGUUAUCCGGAUUUAUUGGGUUGAAAGGGAGCGUAGGGGGAUUGUUAAGUCAGUUGUGAAAGUUUGCGGCUCAACCGUAAAAUUGCAGUUGAAACUGGCAGGCUUGAGUACAGUAGAGGUGGGCGGAAUGCGUGGUGUAGCGGUGAAAUGCUUAGAUAUCACGAAGAACUCCGAUUGCGAAGGCAGCUCACUGGACUGCAACUGACACUGAGGCUCGAAAGUGUGGGUAUCAAACAGGAUUAGAUACCCGGGUAGUC
RNAcentral lists this ribosomal RNA (460 nucleotides) under uncultured bacterium. RNAcentral's name for it is "partial 16S ribosomal RNA". It matches the Rfam family "Bacterial small subunit ribosomal RNA", at positions 338 to 795 of the family's 1533-position model. The record is from RNAcentral.